UGAACGCUGGCGGCGUGCCUAACACAUGCAAGUCGAACGGACUUACAUUGAAGCCUAGCGAUAUGUAAGUUAGUGGCGGACGGGUGAGUAACGCGUGGGUAACCUGCCUUGUACUGGGGGACAACAGUUGGAAACGACUGCUAAUACCGCAUAAGCGCACAGCUUCGCAUGAAGCAGUGUGAAAAACUCCGGUGGUACAAGAUGGACCCGCGUCUGAUUAGCUGGUUGGUGAGGUAACGGCCCACCAAGGCGACGAUCAGUAGCCGGCCUGAGAGGGUGAACGGCCACAUUGGGACUGAGACACGGCCCAAACUCCUACGGGAGGCAGCAGUGGGGAAUAUUGCACAAUGGGGGAAACCCUGAUGCAGCAACGCCGCGUGAGUGAAGAAGUAUUUCGGUAUGUAAAGCUCUAUCAGCAGGAAAGAAAAUGACGGUACCUGACUAAGAAGCCCCGGCUAACUACGUGCCAGCAGCCGCGGUAAUACGUAGGGGGCAAGCGUUAUCCGGAUUUACUGGGUGUAAAGGGAGCGUAGACGGUUUUGCAAGUCUGAAGUGAAAGCCCGGGGCUUAACCCCGGGACUGCUUUGGAAACUGUAGGACUAGAGUGCAGGAGAGGUAAGUGGAAUUCCUAGUGUAGCGGUGAAAUGCGUAGAUAUUAGGAGGAACACCAGUGGCGAAGGCGGCUUACUGGACUGUAACUGACGUUGAGGCUCGAAAGCGUGGGGAGCAAACAGGAUUAGAUACCCUGGUAGUCCACGCCGUAAACGAUGAUUACUAGGUGUUGGUGGGUAUGACCCAUCGGUGCCGCAGCAAACGCAAUAAGUAAUCCACCUG
This 834-nucleotide ribosomal RNA is filed under the name uncultured bacterium. RNAcentral describes it as "bacterial SSU rRNA". It matches the Rfam family "Bacterial small subunit ribosomal RNA", at positions 30 to 875 of the family's 1533-position model. The record is from RNAcentral.